This 253-nucleotide ribosomal RNA is filed under the name uncultured bacterium. Its description in RNAcentral is "partial 16S ribosomal RNA". It matches the Rfam family "Bacterial small subunit ribosomal RNA", at positions 524 to 776 of the family's 1533-position model. The record is from RNAcentral.
UACGGAGGGUGCGAGCGUUACCCGGAUUUACUGGGUGUAAAGGGCGCGUAGGCGGUUGUCUAAGUCCGAUGCUAAAGACUGGGGCUCAACCCCAGGAGUGCGUUGGAUACUGGAGAGCUAGACGGUCGGAGAGGGUAGCGGAAUGGUCAGAGUAGCGGUGAAAUGCGCAGAUACUGAUCGGAACGCCAAUAGCGAAAGCAGCUACCUGGACGACAAGUGACGCUGAGGCGCGAAAGCGUGGGGAGCAAACCGG